AGGAUUUAAGAUGUCUUCGUUGGUCAGACUUCAUAGAAGACAAUAUGGAAGACUUUCAGUAGCUAAAAGCAUUGAAGAAUUAUGGCGGAAGGUGGCUGAUUAUUCAAAAGGGAAUGGAGAUAGCCAUGCACUGUGCCAGUACCCUCAGUUAGGUUUGGAGAUGCCAAAUCCUUUG
This is a long non-coding RNA of Orcinus orca (killer whale), 175 nucleotides long. RefSeq lists it as uncharacterized. Lineage: Eukaryota; Metazoa; Chordata; Mammalia; Artiodactyla; Delphinidae. The transcript is spliced from 3 exons. The record is from RefSeq and is a predicted model, not a curated record.